Molecule: ribosomal RNA, 739 nt
Filed under: bacterium enrichment culture
Lineage: Bacteria
Description: bacterial SSU rRNA
Rfam family: Bacterial small subunit ribosomal RNA
Source: RNAcentral
GAUUGAAGCUUGCUUUGAACUGUUUUAGUGGCGGACGGGUGAGUAACGCGUGAGGAACCUGCCUUUCAGAGGGGGAUAACGUCUGGAAACGGACGCUAAUACCGCAUGACAUUUUGUUGCCGCAUGGUGAUAAAAUCAAAGGAGCAAUCCGCUGAGAGAUGGACUCGCGUCCGAUUAGCCGGUUGGCGGGGUAACGGCCCACCAAAGCAACGAUCGGUAGCCGGGCUGAGAGGCUGAACGGCCACAUUGGGACUGAGACACGGCCCAGACUCCUACGGGAGGCAGCAGUGGGGGAUAUUGCACAAUGGAGGAAACUCUGAUGCAGCAACGCCGCGUGAGGGAAGAAGGUUUUCGGAUUGUAAACCUCUGUCCUCAGGGACGAUAAUGACGGUACCUGAGGAGGAAGCUCCGGCUAACUACGUGCCAGCAGCCGCGGUAAUACGUAGGGAGCAAGCGUUGUCCGGAUUUACUGGGUGUAAAGGGUGCGUAGGCGGCACUGCAAGUCAGGUGUGAAAACCAUGGGCUUAACUUAUGGAUUGCACUUGAAACUGUGGUGCUUGAGUGAAGUAGAGGCAGGCGGAAUUCCCGGUGUAGCGGUGAAAUGCGUAGAGAUCGGGAGGAACACCAGUGGCGAAGGCGGCCUGCUGGGCUUUAACUGACGCUGAGGCACGAAAGCAUGGGUAGCAAACAGGAUUAGAUACCCUGGUAGUCCAUGCCGUAAACGAUGAUUACUAGGUGU